RNAcentral lists this ribosomal RNA (564 nucleotides) under uncultured crenarchaeote. RNAcentral's name for it is "bacterial SSU rRNA". It matches the Rfam family "Archaeal small subunit ribosomal RNA", at positions 908 to 1472 of the family's 1478-position model. Lineage: Archaea; Thermoproteati; Thermoproteota. The record is from RNAcentral.
GGAGUCACGCCAGAAAUCUUACCCGGAGAGACAGCAGAAUGAAGGUCAAGCUGAAGACUUUACCAGACAAGCUGAGAGGUGGUGCAUGGCCGUCGCCAGCUCGUGCCGUGAGAUGUCCUGUUAAGUCAGGUAACGAGCGAGAUCCCUGCCUCUAGUUGCCACCAUUACUCUCAGGAGUAGUGGGGCGAAUUAGCGGGACCGCCGCAGUUAAUGCGGAGGAAGGAAGGGGCCACGGCAGGUCAGUAUGCCCCGAAACUCUGGGGCCACACGCGGGCUGCAAUGGUAGCGACAAUUGGUUUCGAAUCCGAAAGGAUGAGGUAAUCCACAAACGCUACCACAGUUAUGACUGAGGGCUGCAACUCGCCCUCACGAAUAUGGAAUCCCUAGUAACUGCGUGUCAUUAUCGCGCGGUGAAUACGUCCCUGCUCCUUGCACACACCGCCCGUCGUUUCAUUGAAGUGAGCUUUUAGCGAGGUGACGUCUGAUUGGCGUUAUCGAACUUGAGGUUCGUGACAAGGGAAAAGUCGUAACAAGGUGACCGUAGGGGAACCUGCGGUCGGAUCA